Long non-coding RNA from Alligator mississippiensis (American alligator), 1178 nucleotides. RefSeq lists it as uncharacterized. The record is from RefSeq and is a predicted model, not a curated record. NCBI's taxonomy places the organism in Eukaryota, Metazoa, Chordata, Crocodylia, Alligatoridae. The transcript is spliced from 3 exons.
GAGUUUCUUUGUCUCCUUCCCCAGGUGGUGUGAGGGAUUAAUCGAGAUAAUAUGCUCUGCUGAGGACAAGGAUGAUGGUUUCCUCCCUUGAGUUUGGCAUUCACUGUGCAUUCUUCAAUGGCACCAGUAUCAAAGGAAAAAGGACUCAGCCCAUGAGAGUCAGUUUGCAGGAAUUUGGAACAGAAAGCAAAUAGUGUAAGGUCCAUCCUCAUGUCCUAAUAUGCCAGCCCAAACCUAGGCUUCAUUCCUGCAGGCCACAGGCUGCCAGAGGCCUCUCUUUUCCCUGUAGUCCCGGGAAACCCCAGGUCUAUGUGCCGAUAGACCCUAGUGUGCCAACAGACAUUAUUCUCAGCAAAUCUCCACCCUUAAAUAUCUGGUCAUACUGAAUUGAGAUCCGAGUAGAGAAUUAAACAACUAAUCCAAGCCUCUUGGUACUGGUAGAACUGGCAAAAAGGGAAAGAAAAAAAAAAAGAAGAAAAGUCUCGAUUUGUAUGCCAAAUACUCUGAAAAGAGCGAUUGAUGGUUUCACACAGCUCCAGCUGAGAGGCUAUAUACUUCAGGGUGACGUCACAACCAUUCACAUGGCAACAAAUUGAGAUGUCUCGGAAUGCUUUCUCUCAACAAAUCAAAGACAGCACAGCAGGACAGGCUCCUGACUGCAGGUGAGAAAUAUACCACGCAUUUUCAUGUUGGUAAAAGGAGGCGAUCUGGGAUGGAAUGGGGACUGCAAGAAAAGAAGAGAGACUGGUCAGAGAAGAGUUCAGUAUCAGAGUGAAAAAUGAAUAGGGUGUGAGAAGGUUUGUCUUUUCUGCAGCUAGAGACAGAAAAAACAGAAACCUUAGUGAAAGCUCCACUAGCUCUCAUGCACAUCCCUGCAAUCCCAUUGAAGUCAGCAAAGGUACAAAUAAGGACAGAACUCCAUCUUGAAAUUCUUUUUGAUUAUAUAUAAUACACAUAGGCCCAAAGACCAGAAGCACUCAUUUAGCACCUGUUGCAGCUCAGGGUUAUAGAUUGCACAAAGAUGGCAAAGAACCAGACUUGCAAAGUUCUUUGGUACCUAGAUAUACUGACAGGUGCCUAGUGAGAUUAUAAUUGGUUUUAGGUGGCUACUGUGUCCAGGCACUUUGAAAAUGCGAGUAAGUGCCUAGCUUAAUAUCUAGACACCCAUCCUUAAGACC